UGGGGAAUUUUGGGCAAUGGGGGAAACCCUGACCCAGCAACGCCGCGUGAAGGAUGAAGUAUUUCGGUAUGUAAACUUCGAAAGAAUAGGAAGAAUAAAUGACGGUACUAUUUAUAAGGUCCGGCUAACUACGUGCCAGCAGCCGCGGUAAUACGUAGGGACCAAGCGUUGUUCGGAUUUACUGGGCGUAAAGGGCGCGUAGGCGGCAUGACAAGUCACUUGUGAAAUCUCUGGGCUUAACCCAGAACGGCCAAGUGAUACUGUCGCGCUAGAGUGCAGAAGGGGCAAUCGGAAUUCUUGGUGUAGCGGUGAAAUGCGUAGAUAUCAAGAGGAACACCUGAGGUGAAGACGGGUUGCUGGGCUGACACUGACGCUGAGGCGCGAAAGCCAGGGGGAGCAAACGGGAUUAGAUACCCACGUAGUCCCUGAGCGGGCUGGCAAGGCGCAU
RNAcentral lists this ribosomal RNA (448 nucleotides) under uncultured bacterium. RNAcentral's name for it is "bacterial SSU rRNA". It matches the Rfam family "Bacterial small subunit ribosomal RNA", at positions 355 to 825 of the family's 1533-position model. The record is from RNAcentral.